AUAUCAAUAAGCGGAGGAAAAGAAACUAACAAGGAUUCCCCUAGUAACUGCGAGUGAAGCGGGAAAAGCUCAAAUUUGAAAUCUGGCAGCUCUUUGAACUGUCCGAGUUGUAAUCUAGAGAAGUGUUACCUGUGCUGGACCGUGUACAAGUCUCCUGGAAUGGAGCGUCACAGAGGGUGAGAAUCCCGUCUUUGACACGGACUGCCUGCAUGUUAUGGUGCGCUCUCAAAGAGUCGAGUUGUUUGGGAAUGCAGCUCAAAAUGGGUGGUAAAUGCCAUCUAAAGCUAAAUAUUGGCGAGAGACCGAUAGCGAACAAGUACCGUGAGGGAAAGAUGAAAAGAACUUUGGAAAGAGAGUUAAACAGUAC
RNAcentral lists this ribosomal RNA (367 nucleotides) under uncultured fungus. Its description in RNAcentral is "eukaryotic LSU rRNA". It matches the Rfam family "Eukaryotic large subunit ribosomal RNA", at positions 40 to 398 of the family's 3401-position model. The record is from RNAcentral. Lineage: Eukaryota; Fungi.